ACGUGAUUUGGGCGGUAUUGAUUGCUUAUUUUAGGCAUCUGUUCAUGCAGUGUCAGUUGGAGCAGAGAGGAUCGAUGUGUGGCUUUAUGUUUUUGGGAUUGCUGAGUUUUUGGUUCUUUUGUGUGCUUUGCAUUUGACUUGUUUCCCUUAGUUUUCUUUUAUUGAUAAAGAUUUAAAGUUCUUUUUUGUUUCGGUGAUCACUGUUUUUGUAGAUGGCCUUGCACAUGUAUGCAGGCCCAGUAUCAGCUUCUCAGUGGCUUUUUGUUUGAUUCUGGAGUUUUUAAAAUUUGCCAACAAAAAUCUAUUUAUUGAAGAAUCUCUAGAUGGAGCAUUGCAUCAAGGAUGGAGAGGAUUAAAGUCAGCAGAUAUGGAUCCAGACACAGAGUAAAUUUGACUUUGACCCACUGUCCUGCUGUGGGCAAUGUUGUGCCUGGACCUAAUCCCAGAUGUUUGGCUGAUCAAUGCCACCAGGCAACGGCCGCCAGCACAAAUUCUACCUCUGCUCUUUCAACACUGGUAUCAAUGUAAAACGCCCCAGGAUUUACAAUGCACGUUUUGAAGGAGCAAGUGGAGAGUCUUGCCAACAGCCUGUUGAAGCUAUACCCAUCUGUCGUUUUUUUUUCCCCAUAUGUUGUAAUUGUAAUGCCAUGUGCAUGAUUUAGACUGAUGUAAGGAAAUGA
Molecule: long non-coding RNA, 680 nt
Organism: Oreochromis niloticus (Nile tilapia)
Lineage: Eukaryota; Metazoa; Chordata; Actinopteri; Cichliformes; Cichlidae
Exons: 2
Source: RefSeq, a predicted model, not a curated record